This 1048-nucleotide ribosomal RNA is filed under the name Lactobacillus delbrueckii subsp. bulgaricus. RNAcentral describes it as "bacterial SSU rRNA". It matches the Rfam family "Bacterial small subunit ribosomal RNA", at positions 1 to 1018 of the family's 1533-position model. Lineage: Bacteria; Bacillati; Bacillota; Bacilli; Lactobacillales; Lactobacillaceae. The record is from RNAcentral.
AAAUUGAGAGUUUGAUCCUGGCUCAGGACGAACGCUGGCGGCGUGCCUAAUACAUGCAAGUCGAGCGAGCUGAAUUCAAAGAUUCCUUCGGGAUGAUUUGUUGGACGCUAGCGGCGGAUGGGUGAGUAACACGUGGGCAAUCUGCCCUAAAGACUGGGAUACCACUUGGAAACAGGUGCUAAUACCGGAUAACAACAUGAAUCGCAUGAUUCAAGUUUGAAAGGCGGCGUAAGCUGUCACUUUAGGAUGAGCCCGCGGCGCAUUAGCUAGUUGGUGGGGUAAAGGCCUACCAAGGCAAUGAUGCGUAGCCGAGUUGAGAGACUGAUCGGCCACAUUGGGACUGAGACACGGCCCAAACUCCUACGGGAGGCAGCAGUAGGGAAUCUUCCACAAUGGACGCAAGUCUGAUGGAGCAACGCCGCGUGAGUGAAGAAGGUUUUCGGAUCGUAAAGCUCUGUUGUUGGUGAAGAAGGAUAGAGGCAGUAACUGGUCUUUAUUUGACGGUAAUCAACCAGAAAGUCACGGCUAACUACGUGCCAGCAGCCGCGGUAAUACGUAGGUGGCAAGCGUUGUCCGGAUUUAUUGGGCGUAAAGCGAGCGCAGGCGGAAUGAUAAGUCUGAUGUGAAAGCCCACGGCUCAACCGUGGAACUGCAUCGGAAACUGUCAUUCUUGAGUGCAGAAGAGGAGAGUGGAAUUCCAUGUGUAGCGGUGGAAUGCGUAGAUAUAUGGAAGAACACCAGUGGCGAAGGCGGCUCUCUGGUCUGCAACUGACGCUGAGGCUCGAAAGCAUGGGUAGCGAACAGGAUUAGAUACCCUGGUAGUCCAUGCCGUAAACGAUGAGCGCUAGGUGUUGGGGACUUUCCGGUCCUCAGUGCCGCAGCAAACGCAUUAAGCGCUCCGCCUGGGGAGUACGACCGCAAGGUUGAAACUCAAAGGAAUUGACGGGGGCCCGCACAAGCGGUGGAGCAUGUGGUUUAAUUCGAAGCAACGCGAAGAACCUUACCAGGUCUUGACAUCCUGCGCUACACCUAGAGAUAGGUGGUUCCC